AUACCCCUCAAGCAUUGCUUGGUGUUGGGCUAUGUCCUUUAAGGGGACCAGCCCGUAAGUUGUAGGCGGCCAUCGGUGGCCCCCCAGCGUAGCAGGCUAACGCACUCGCCUGGGGGUGGCCCAUAUGGCCCGUCCAAAUUUUAUCUUAAAAG
This 152-nucleotide unclassified non-coding RNA is filed under the name uncultured Ascomycota. Its description in RNAcentral is "sequence contains ITS2". The record is from RNAcentral. Lineage: Eukaryota; Fungi; Ascomycota.